AGCGGCGGACGGGUGAGUAAUGCCUGGGAAAUUGCCCUGAUGUGGGGGAUAACCAUUGGAAACGAUGGCUAAUACCGCAUAAUAGCUUCGGCUCAAAGAGGGGGACCUUCGGGCCUCUCGCGUCAGGAUAUGCCCAGGUGGGAUUAGCUAGUUGGUGAGGUAAGGGCUCACCAAGGCGACGAUCCCUAGCUGGUCUGAGAGGAUGAUCAGCCACACUGGAACUGAGACACGGUCCAGACUCCUACGGGAGGCAGCAGUGGGGAAUAUUGCACAAUGGGCGCAAGCCUGAUGCAGCCAUGCCGCGUGUAUGAAGAAGGCCUUCGGGUUGUAAAGUACUUUCAGCAGUGAGGAAGGUGGAGUCGUUAAUAGCGGCCUCAUUUGACGUUAGCUGCAGAAGAAGCACCGGCUAACUCCGUGCCAGCAGCCGCGGUAAUACGGAGGGUGCGAGCGUUAAUCGGAAUUACUGGGCGUAAAGCGCAUGCAGGUGGUUUGUUAAGUCAGAUGUGAAAGCCCGGGGCUCAACCUCGGAAUUGCAUUUGAAACUGGCAGA
Molecule: ribosomal RNA, 550 nt
Filed under: uncultured bacterium
Lineage: Bacteria
Description: bacterial SSU rRNA
Rfam family: Bacterial small subunit ribosomal RNA
Source: RNAcentral